UACGUAGGUGGCAAGCGUUGUCCGGAUUUACUGGGCGUAAAGAGCGCGCAGGCGGUCGUUCAAGUCGGGUGUGAAAGCCCCCGGCUCAACUGGGGAGGGUCACGCGAUACUGAUCGACUCGAAGGCAGGAGAGGGUAGUGGAAUUCCCGGUGUAGUGGUGAAAUGCGUAGAUAUCGGGAGGAACACCAGUGGCGAAGGCGACUACCUGGCCUGUUCUUGACGCUGAGGAGCGAAAGCGUGGGGAGCGAACAGG
RNAcentral lists this ribosomal RNA (253 nucleotides) under uncultured bacterium. RNAcentral's name for it is "partial 16S ribosomal RNA". It matches the Rfam family "Bacterial small subunit ribosomal RNA", at positions 524 to 776 of the family's 1533-position model. The record is from RNAcentral.